RNAcentral lists this ribosomal RNA (435 nucleotides) under Triticum aestivum (bread wheat). Its description in RNAcentral is "partial small subunit ribosomal RNA". Lineage: Eukaryota; Viridiplantae; Streptophyta; Magnoliopsida; Poales; Poaceae. The record is from RNAcentral.
AUGUUUUACACUGCAGGGCUUCCAUUCAAUCUUGCAAGGAACCCUGACUUUAGGGCAGCCAUGACCUUCAUUGCAAACAGCAGCUUGGGUGGGUAUGUGCCUCCAGGAUAUAAUUCAUUGAGGACAACUCUUCUUGAUCAAGAGAAGAAGCAUAUUCAGAGGAGCCUAGAGCCUAUUAAAUCAACAUGGCCUUACACAAGAGUGACCAUUGCGACGAGUGGGUGGUCUGAUCCUCAAAGGCGGCCCAUUCUAAACUUCAUGGCUAUGACAGAAGGUGGUCCAAUGUUCCUAAAAGCAAUUGACACCGAGGGAGAGGUAAAAUCUUUGUACCUACAUAAUUUACUUUGUCUUUUGUUCCUUUUAGUUGCAUAUAUUGCUUGCUGGCUUGUCUUCAUUGCUAGAUUAAAACCAAGGAAUACAUCUUUGAGAAGCUAA